Molecule: ribosomal RNA, 103 nt
Filed under: Burmannia oblonga
Lineage: Eukaryota; Viridiplantae; Streptophyta; Magnoliopsida; Dioscoreales; Burmanniaceae
Description: 4.5S ribosomal RNA
Source: RNAcentral
AAAGGUCAUGGCGAGAUAAGCCGUUUAUCAUUAUGAUAGGUAUCAAGUGGAAGUACAGUGAUGUAUGCAGCUGAGGUAUCCUAAUAGACCAAAAAAUUUGAAC